CUACUUCAGAGAAGCAGAAGGGCUUUCCCCACCAAUCUUUCUGAGUCAAACCAGUAAUUCUAGGCUAAAUGCUGGAACGUAUGGGGCUAGGCUGUCAUUUUGCCGUGUAGUCACUGGAUAUGGAAAACCACAGUAUAGUGAAGAUAAUAAGUAAUCGUGAAUGUUGAGCUAUGUAUGCUUAUUUGACUUGGUGAUGGAGGAGCCGAAGAGACUGUACAGUCAAACCUAAAUGCUGCACCCAGUUUUGUGAGUUUUAAAUAAUUUUUCACAGCAGGUUUUAGCUGGAACACACAUUGCUCUUCUUAUAGACGUGAAAUAUUGGGAUGAUUGCUUCCCAGUUGCUCUCCACUAUUUUAAGAUUUCUCCAGGUUUGUUUCCCUCACUGUCUCUUUCAUAGGGCGCAUUUCCAACAUGGCAGAUGGCCACUGUGUUUGAGACACUAGACAGUGCAAAGGAAAAGAGAAGAGAGAAUUACGAGGAGGAAAAAAAAGGGGGCUCAGACUCCGACUCUUGGAUAGCACAUUGGCUGGCUUCCACAUUUUAGUGGGAAAGCUACAGUAUGUAGAUAUAUAAUCAAAAUGUCAGAUUGCAUUUAGUCAACAUUUUUAUAAACCACUCUUUACAAUGACACACAUUUUACUUAGUCUUCGCUUGAAAGAAUAUUACAACUCACCCUUAUACUGAAUAAGCAACCUAUAAAACCAGUAGUUUUGACACAUUCAAUAACUGAGCAGUAAAAUAUUUCAUUGAAAUGUUUUCCACAGCAUGUGUUUAUAGUGGGACCUGUCACAACUUGAACUCUUUGUGAUGAAUUCGCUCUGCGUUUUAGUUACGCAAUAAGAAACUACCCAUCUUCAGUUACCAGAUGUUGCAUUACCUUUUGUGGAACAUUUGAAAAAUGAGACAAAAAAACCCAACUUGGAAUAUCGGCCACCGUCUCGAUGUCAUAGUGACAAAUGCCAAUUAACUAACAUUGUUGCCCUUGGUAUGCAUGACGACAAGCCGGUGUGAAUGACCAGAGUACCAGUGUUGUAUGGAGCAACUUACUGCCAGUAAGUUGCUUCUCACCGGGCAGCCAAAUGUUUUUGUGCGACAACUGUCACCAAGCUGUGAAGUGUAGCUAGCAUCGCCAACUUGAAUUUCAUCUUCAAAAAUAAAUCAUGCCGGUAUGAAAAAUGACCAUUAGUGGUGGUUGUCUGGAUGUCUCUGUGAUACAUACAGUCUAAUCAAUGGGGAGAUGAAAGCACUGGCCACACCUGGGAAGUUUCCUUCUUUAAGAUCAAGGGACCUGCUAAGGCAUUACAUAAUGACUGGAGUGAUUUUCACUGAGUUAUUUGUGUCAUUCUGAUGGAAAAACAAGAUGCUACUUCAAACCUGUUACCACACAUUCGAAGUCCCAACUUGGACAAUUUUCCAAUAACACUUGAGGGACUGUGACUUCCUUUUAACAUUCCCUCCAUCACUUCUGAUAAUGACAGUUUAAAGCUGAUGGUGACAGUGAUUGUUAUGGAACAAUGGCCUUCAUGUUCAAACCAUAGAAAUUGUAAUGAUUCAUUGAUGGUAUAAACUGGAAAUAAAUAGUGAGCUCAAAAUAUUUAAGUUGGUGGCCAAUGUGGUUUCUGUCUGAAUGUUCAGACUGACACUUUCUCAUUCAAUACUGUUGCAAAGUGAUUAUUUAGAUAUCCACAUUGUGCUGUUCAUUGAUAGCUUUUAUUAUCUAAUGAUGUCCAAUGAACAUAGUAUAUAUGCAGUUGUUGACACCACAACACAGCACAUAUUUGGGAUGUUGGAAAUUGAUCAUUAAAAUAAUUUAUUCCGCUGUUGUGUUGUUGUCUGCUUACAGUGGGUCAUUUCAUACGGAACAGUCAGAUGCGCUCAUAUUUUUGAAUCACAAACAGGUUUGAGAGUAUAGGCGCUAAAAUCACGGCCCUUCUAAAACCCUUCUAAAACCUGACUCUUUUAAUAGAUGGCUCCGAGCUGGCCAGUACACAUUCCUAAGGGAGGUAUGGAAAACAAAGCUGGAUCCCAGAGAGUAAGUCAGUCCAUCUUUCCCCUGUGGACUUUGUGAGUGAAGCCCAGCUCGAAUCAACUCCCACAUACAGGGAAUUCCUAUCUGAAAUAUUUGCUAUUUGUUCAAUAAAAGGAAAUGAGGAAGGGAAGGUGGCCAGGAGGGAGGAGAUGGAUUGGGGGAUGGGGGACUUGUUUAAAUUGAAUCACCACAGCAGCUUCCGUAAUAUAUUUUUUCUUCUACUUCUCUUCUUCAUUUUUAAGAGGAAAUGAGUUUCACAACGUAAGGCAAUGUUUCAACUGUCAUUUAUUUUUGAUGCCUGGCAAGCAACAGAGAUGUCACCAAAUAAUGAGUAACCCAGCACUUAGCUUCCACUACUGUCUAUUAAGGGCUGGCACAAAUGGAAUGUAAAUGCUUUGCAAUAAAAAUAUCACACACACACAGACACACACAUACGUAUAUAUAUUAGGACUGUCAAAAUGAACGCAUAAACGCGUGGGAUUAAUAAAAAAUGCUUAACGCCGUAGAAUUUUUUGUCACAUUUUUCGUUUGUUGAGCCUCAGAACCAAAGUUACUGCUUGACUUGUGCAGGAGCUGUUGCUUAUUCAUUUGCAACAGUAUACGGGGAACUUUAUUUGGCACUUGACUUGUGCUGGAGUGGUCGAGAGUGCUUCACAUUUGUUUUUUUUAAUCUAAAAAUGUAGAGUAGCCUACGCAUUCAUGUCGUGAUUCGUGUUUACUCACGUUCAACGACAGCAUUUAUGUGUCAACGGCCCAGUGAGCAAUCGGUGGUGGCCCGCCGUCGCUUUUCUCCUCAUCUCAAUUUGCAUAAGCUAAUUUGCAUCUCUGGCGGCUUUCCACCAGCGGCCCGACUGCGUUACGCUGGCGGCUAGCCGCCGUAGAGAGGGCAUGUGCUGUGAUUUGCUGUAUCUGCCUGUGUUGCCAUUUUCUUCCAACAGAGGUGCUAUUGUACCACUUUUAUUCUUGUACUGAUUAUUUGUAUUAACUUUAUUUUAAUACUGUUAAAUCUUUUGGUAAACACUGAUUUAUUAAUAAAAUAGACUUUGACUUUUGCGCUAUUGCUUAUGUAAAGGACCUUUGUGUAGACAUGUACAGUAAACACAUAGAAACAGCCAUCUUUCGCCAUUGCUUACCAUCAUUUUUUCCCCAAACUAAUUGCCAUUUUCAACUGCAUGGUACCGGCUCAACUACUCGCCUAUAGCCUUGACUUUAAUCGCUUCACGAUGGACAGUUCUUUACUGUGUUUAAACACUGCAGUGUCCGUAGAUGGCGCCGUAGCGAAUGUGAAUUGCACGUAAGGCAAGACAAUUGCCAUUUUGCACGCUAGGAAUCCCUCAUUCUAGUUAUGUGAAAACUGGAUCAUUUUAGUGACUUGGUUCUUUAAGUCUCGUUCAGGAAAAGGAACAACUAUUUUUCAAAGAGUGUAAGGUAUAAGCUAUAUGCUCUAAAUUGGACAAAACAUGUGUAUUCUGAUUUUGUUUACUACAAUUUGAUGAACUCGAAGAUCAAAAUAGUUUUUUACAUCAGACUGAAAAUGAUUGAACGCAGAGUCACCUACAUAGCUAGGGUGAGUUCUGUUCUGCGUUUUUAUAAAUAACUAUGUGUUGUUAGGUUACUGAGUAAGAAUGUAAUGUCUUUUUUGUAUUAAACAAUGACUGUUUGCAAUAUUCUAUUAACAUUCUAAUUCUUUAGUCAAAGUCACUGGUAGCUGAACGCAAGUUUUAAACCAUUGGCGGUAAAACAAAUUAAUGAAUCUGAGCUUGAAAAAAAAACAGCGCUGGCCUGAGAUGAAAUACCUACAGUAACCCUUGUGUUUCUUUGUGUGUCCACAAGUUUGGUUGCUUACAAUUUUUGUUUCUUUGUUUCUCCUCAAGUUCAGCUGUUUUGUGCUUCUUUGCAUAUCAACGGUUGAACAGAACAUUUGGAGAAGAUCAAGUGGCUGACUGAAGAGAAGGUCGAGCUGAGGGCACAGCUGGCUCUACAAUCAGGAGCCAUAAGGAAGAAUCCUUCCAACCGGGAUGCCACUGACGAGGCUGUCCAGAACCAGGUCCCAGAAAGGGACAGCUGACCGUGCAGGUGGGAGAAGCGUUGCGGCGGUACAAGGGACCUGCCGUGAAUAUGAAUGACAUCUCCAGCACCACCAAUAUUGCUGCUAAUCUACAGUAGUCUUUAUAAAAAAUAUUAUAACUGCUGCUAUGUACAGUGUUAUUUAUAUAUGAUCGCAUUAUCCUUAAUAUAUUUAUAGCUCUGUGUGAAUGUUCUUAAUUCUGACUGUAGUUGUAGUGUGUUAUGCCACCAUUCAUAAGCUUAUUGCACUGAUGUAUCUACGAUUCAAUACAUUUUGAUUGCUGCUACGUCACACUUAUGUAUAUUACUGCCAUUCUAGCCCUUGUUUAUUUUGUAUUAUAUUAUGUUUAUUUUGUACUUUUUCACAUUCAAAUACUGUAAUUUUACUAUAUUGGUUGCUGGAUACGUUUUCUUGCACUAUUUGAUUUUUCUAUUCAUUUGCACAUGUUUAUUUUGUAUCUUGCACUAUUUGAAAUACAUUUUUCAGAUUUUAUUCAGUUCAUUGUCAUUUGUGAUAUGUGAUAAAUUAUUGUAAAGGAUUACUAUGAAUACAACCUAAUAUUGGGGCGUGAGGCGUCCCGCUGGGUUUAGUGCUGAAAAGUAGCUAGCUGCCGUCGGGCCGCUGGUGAGCCCCUGAUCAGGGUAUUGUUGGAAGGCAAUGUAAUGAAAGCGGCCCAAUGGUGGCCCGACUGCGACCCACGCUAUAUAAAAAAAAAAAAACAUUUUCA
Esox lucius (northern pike) is the source of this 4824-nucleotide long non-coding RNA. The record is from Ensembl. Lineage: Eukaryota; Metazoa; Chordata; Actinopteri; Esociformes; Esocidae.